Molecule: small nucleolar RNA, 141 nt
Organism: Dromiciops gliroides (monito del monte)
Lineage: Eukaryota; Metazoa; Chordata; Mammalia; Microbiotheria; Microbiotheriidae
Product: small nucleolar RNA SNORA46
Exons: 1
Source: RefSeq, a predicted model, not a curated record
AGCACUAUUUUUUAAACCUAUUGAUGGACAUUUUUACCACCUUAGGUUACGCUGUAGUGCCAAAGAAUCCCUUAGCGCCUGUCGUAGCACAGCUGAUUGCCCAUUCAGUUCAUGCUGUGGUGGUGGUGUUAAGGAACAUGA